RNAcentral lists this ribosomal RNA (253 nucleotides) under uncultured bacterium. Its description in RNAcentral is "partial 16S ribosomal RNA". It matches the Rfam family "Bacterial small subunit ribosomal RNA", at positions 524 to 775 of the family's 1533-position model. The record is from RNAcentral.
UACGGAGGGUGCGAGCGUUGUCCGGAAUCAUUGGGCGUAAAGGGCGCGUAGGUGGCGCGGCAAGCGUGCGGUGAAAGCUCGGGGCUCAACCCCGAGUCGGCCGUGCGAACUGCUGGGCUUGAGCACUGUAGAGGCAGGCGGAAUUCCGGGUGUAGCGGUGGAAUGCGUAGAGAUCCGGAAGAACACCGGUGGCGAAGGCGGCCUGCUGGGCAGUAGCUGACACUGAUGCGCGGACAGCAUGGGGAGCAACAGG